GACGAACGCUGGCGGCGUGCUUAAUACAUGCAAGUCGAGCGAACAGACGAGGCGCUUGCUCCUCUGACGUUAGCGGCGGACGGGUGAGUAACACGUGGAUCACCUACCUAUAUGACUGGGAUCACUUCGGGAAACCGGAGCUAAUCCCGGAUAAUAUAUUGAUCCGCAUGGUUCAUUAGUGAAAGACGGUUUUGCUGUCUCUUCUAGCUGGUUCCGCGCCGCAUUAGCUAGUUGGUAAGGUCACGGCUUACCAGGGCGACGAGGCGUAGCCGACCUGAGAGGGUGAUCGGCCACACUGGAGGUGAGACGCGGACCAUGCGCCUACGGGAGGGAGCAGUAGGGUAUCGUCCGCAGUGGGCGAAAGCCUGACGGAGCAACGCCGCGUGAGUGGUAGAGGUGUUCGGAUCGGAAUACUCUGUUAUUGGGGAAGAACAAAUGUGUAAGGAACUGUGCACGUCUUGACGGUACCUGAUCAGAAAGCCACGGCUAACUACGUG
RNAcentral lists this ribosomal RNA (497 nucleotides) under uncultured bacterium. Its description in RNAcentral is "partial 16S ribosomal RNA". It matches the Rfam family "Bacterial small subunit ribosomal RNA", at positions 28 to 507 of the family's 1533-position model. The record is from RNAcentral.